AUCUCGCUCUUAGUCUCCACCCCUUCAUUGGUGGCAGCCAAUUAGAGAGGCCAAGGACUGUUUGAGAAAAGCUUUGCCUUAAAUGCAUGGGGAGAAGUGAUCAGGGCAGCGAACAGAGCAUCAUUCAGAUAGGAGAACAGAGCCUCUAUUACUGACACAGCAUCGAGCCAGCACACCUCCUACCACCAAGACCCAGUAGUUUCCAGGUAGGAGGCACAUCAUGAGUGACGAUCAGAGUCUGUCCGAGGUUGAGAUGAGCCCUGUUGGUUCUGAGGAUCCCUCCUUAACACCUGAACCUUUAGCAUCUAAUUCCCACUCUGGCCCAGAGGAUGAUGAAGAAGGAAAAGUGAAAAAAGAGCAUGAUUCUGAGGAUGAAAGAUUCCCUGUCUGCAUUCGUGAAGCUGUCUCCCAGGUGUUGAGCGGUUAUGAUUGGACAUUAGUUCCUAUGCCAGUUAGGGUCAAUGGUGGCAAUAAGUCCAAACCUCAUGUGAAGAGACCUAUGAAUGCUUUCAUGGUAUGGGCACAGGCUGCCCGGCGAAAGUUGGCUGACCAGUACCCACAUCUCCACAAUGCAGAGCUAAGCAAGACAUUGGGCAAGCUUUGGAGGUUACUAAAUGAGAAUGACAAGAGACCCUUCAUAGAAGAAGCAGAAAGACUAAGAAUGCAACACAAGAAGGACCAUCCAGAUUAUAAGUACCAGCCUCGUAGAAGGAAGAAUGGAAAGCCCACAUCAGGAGAGGGGGAUGGAUCUUCAGAAGCUGAAGGAGGUGCUGCCUCCAUACAGGCUCACUACAAAAACUCACACCUGGACCAUAGACACGGCUCCCCUAUGUCUGAUGGAAAUUCAGAGCACUCAGCAGGUCAAAGUCAUGGUCCUCCCACUCCGCCAACAACACCAAAAACAGAACUCCAGACAGGAAAAUCUGAGGGCAAGAGGGAUGGCUCCCGAUCUCUGGCAGAAGGAGGAAAACCCCACAUUGAUUUUGGCAAUGUAGAUAUUGGGGAAAUAAGCCACGAUGUCAUGUCCAACAUGGAGACAUUCGAUGUCAAUGAGUUUGACCAGUACCUUCCACCCAAUGGUCAUGCUGCACAUGCAAGUCACAUUGGGGGUUACACCUCCAGUUAUGGUCUCAGUGGAGCUUUGGCUGCUGGUCCCUCUGCCUGGGCUCUUGCAAAGCAACAUGCUUCAACUGUGGCAGAUUCAAAGGCUCAAGUGAAGACAGAAAGCUCAACUACAAGCCAUUACACCGAGCAGCCUUCAACAUCACAGCUGACAUACACAUCGCUGGGGCUGCCUCACUAUGGUUCAGCAUUUCCUUCUAUCUCCAGGCCACAGUUUGACUACUCAGACCACCAACCGUCAAGUUCAUAUUACAGCCAUUCAAGUCAAGCCACUGGCCUCUAUUCAGCAUUCUCCUAUAUGGGCCCUCCUCAGCGUCCACUUUACACUGCAAUCUCUGAUCCUCCUAGUGUGGCUCCAUCACAUAGCCCAACACAUUGGGAACAGCCAGUGUAUACAACGCUGUCAAGACCAUGAGAAUUACUGAGAUACAGACAAAGGAGGGACAUCUCUCGGAGAGCAACAUGCUCCGACGGGGUCCUCCCACUGCUCAAAUCCCAGGAACCUGAAGCACAGAAUUGACAUCAGGCACGGAACUUCCACCUCCCAGUGCCUUUGACAACAAAAAUCAGAUUGAGUGCCUAAUGGUGUCUACACAUUUGUAUAUUUGGGGUGGGAAAUAUGCUUAAUGACAGAGCAGUCAUUCUUUAUAAAAAAUGAAGAUAGGGUAACACUGAUUACUACUAAGUGAAUAGUGACAUUGCUACUUGGUAUGUAGGCAACACAAGUUAAAAUCUGUUUGACUAACAGUGACCAUUCCCUAAAUUUUUUAUAAUUACUUCAUAUCUCAGAUGACCUCUAUUGGCUUCUUUCAAAAAAGUGCAGCUGAGAAACCUGUGAUAAGGGACAUUAUAGAAAACACACAUUGCAGUGGGAUGCAGGUCCUGGGAUUCAUAGAAAUUGCCUAUUUUGGAAAACAGAGGCAUUCAUGUUAAGACUUUAGUCUUAGUCCAGUAGACGCAGAAAGCAAGAUAAAUAAUUAUGAUUAGAUUAUCAUAUAAAUAAAAAUGGAUUUAAAUCUGGACUAUGUGUAAGAAGAAAAAUGCUGAUUCUCAAAGUGAAUUUGAAGGUAGAGACCUGUCCAUUUAUACUGUUAGCUUAUCAUUCUAAAUAUUUCAGAUGUAUUAUGUACAGUACCUUGUUCUGUCACAAUUGUACUGUCUUUGGAGGCAGAACAAAAUGUCCCAUAUCUGCUUGCUCCUAUGAAGGAACAUUAAACAGCUUUGUAACACUUAAAGUA
RNA transcript from Rana temporaria (common frog), 2360 nucleotides. It is a transcript of the gene named SRY-box transcription factor 10, with no coding region annotated. Lineage: Eukaryota; Metazoa; Chordata; Amphibia; Anura; Ranidae. The record is from RefSeq and is a predicted model, not a curated record. The transcript has 5 exons.